This 1101-nucleotide ribosomal RNA is filed under the name Triticum aestivum (bread wheat). Its description in RNAcentral is "partial small subunit ribosomal RNA". The record is from RNAcentral. Lineage: Eukaryota; Viridiplantae; Streptophyta; Magnoliopsida; Poales; Poaceae.
AUGGAUAUGAAGGAGCAGGCCAACGCCGCCGCCACUGCUGCGCGAGAAGGCGACCUCGCCGACGUCGUGGCCCGUGCCAACGCAAUGGCCUACUCCACCGGAGCCCGUCGCCAAGCGCCACCACCUCCCCCUUCUGCGGCAGCUCGCGUCAUGAUCCCCUACGAGGAGGAGAGACAACGGCGGCCUGCGAACGUCGCCUGCGGCGGCGGCGAGGUUACCUUUGAGGCACCGCCGUCAACCGUUGUGGUCGACCCGUACCUUCUGGCGGCGGCUGGUGGAUAUGGGCUGCCACAGCAGCACCAGCACCAGCACCAGCAACUGCUCGCUUUCCAGAUCUCUGAGCAUGCGUGCUGCGCCGCCGCCGACAGCGACGACCCCAUGAGGAUCUCGCCACCACCACCACAACCGGCUCCUCAUCAUCAGAUGAUCACCAGUUAUUGCGGCAUGGCUUGCACGCAUAUACCAUACUGCAGAAAGAACGAUGUGAGGAAGGUGGUCUGCAUCCCGGCGCCACCGGUGAUGAGCAACCGGGCAGGAGGGGGAGGGGAGGUGAUUCCAUCUGAUCUAUGGGCAUGGAGAAAGUAUGGCCAGAAACCCAUCAAGGGCUCUCCUUAUCCAAGGGGUUACUACAGAUGCAGCAGCUCCAAGGGGUGCCUAGCCCGGAAGCAGGUGGAGCGCAGCCGCAGCGACCCCAACAUGCUGGUUAUCACCUACACGGCGGAGCACAACCACCCAUGGCCAAUGCAGCGCAACGUUCUUGCUGGAUACGCUCGUGCUCACACGCACGCCGCUGCCAAGAAGCAGCAGAAGAUCAGCAGCAGUAGCUCCGCUGAUAAUGCCGCGAGCUCGUCCUCCAUCAACAGUUUCCACGUCGAGCAGAUCAAUCCGAUCUGCGUCGACCAGCUGCCCGUCAGUUGCAAGAUGCCGGAUAGCACGGCCACUGCCGGAGAUGGUGGUGGCCUGUUGUUUGAAGGCAUCCAGCCUGACGAGGUCUUUGCAGAGCUGGAGGAGUUGGAGACUCAUAAUAAUCCCGUGAUGACAAGUGCAAACGUCUACGGAUCCAGGGGGGUAAGUAGUAACUACGAGUGGCACAAAUUCUAA